RNAcentral lists this ribosomal RNA (253 nucleotides) under uncultured bacterium. Its description in RNAcentral is "partial 16S ribosomal RNA". It matches the Rfam family "Bacterial small subunit ribosomal RNA", at positions 524 to 776 of the family's 1533-position model. The record is from RNAcentral.
UACGUAGGGGGCAAGCGUUGUCCGGAUUUAUUGGGCGUAAAGAGCGUGUAGGCGGCCAUACAGGUCCGUUGUGAAAACUGGAGGCUUAACCUCCAGACGUCGAUGGAAACCGCGUGGCUAGAGUCUGGAAGAGGAGAGUGGAAUUCCUGGUGUAGCGGUGAAAUGCGCAGAUAUCAGGAAGAACACCAAUGGCGAAGGCAGCUCUCUGGGACGGUACUGACGCUGAGACGCGAAAGCGUGGGGAGCGAACAGG